GAUGAAGAACGUAGCGAAAUACGAUAAGUAAUGUGAAUUGCAGAAUUCAGUGAAUCAUCGAAUCUUUGAACGCAUCUUGCGCUCCUUGGUAUUCCUUGGAGCAUGCCUGUUUGAGUAUCAUGAGCAAAUCUCAAAGUCAAUUCCUUUUGUUAAUUCAAUUGGUUUUGCUUUGGACUUGGAGGUCUUGCAGAUUUCACAGUCUGCUCCUCUUAAAUGCAUUAGCUGGAUCUCAGUAAUUAUGCUUGGUUCCACUCGGCGUGAUAAGUAUCACUCGCUGAGGACACUGUUAAAAAGGUGGCCAGGAAAAUACUGAUUGAACCGCUUCUAACGGUCUAUUAAGUUAGACAAUUGACCCCUUAAGUUUGAUCUCAAAUCAGGUAGGACUACCCGCUGAACUUAAGCAUAUCAAUAAGCGGAGGA
Molecule: unclassified non-coding RNA, 420 nt
Filed under: soil metagenome
Description: partial contains 5.8S ribosomal RNA, internal transcribed spacer 2, and large subunit ribosomal RNA
Rfam family: 5.8S ribosomal RNA (bases 1-120)
Source: RNAcentral